RNAcentral lists this ribosomal RNA (1059 nucleotides) under Salmonella enterica. RNAcentral describes it as "partial 23S ribosomal RNA". It matches the Rfam family "Bacterial large subunit ribosomal RNA", at positions 1292 to 2334 of the family's 2925-position model. Lineage: Bacteria; Pseudomonadati; Pseudomonadota; Gammaproteobacteria; Enterobacterales; Enterobacteriaceae. RNAcentral also lists the same sequence under 1 other name. The record is from RNAcentral.
GAAUGCUGACAUAAGUAACGAUAAAGCGGGUGAAAAGCCCGCUCGCCGGAAGACCAAGGGUUCCUGUCCAACGUUAAUCGGGGCAGGGUGAGUCGACCCCUAAGGCGAGGCCGAAAGGCGUAGUCGAUGGGAAACGGGUUAAUAUUCCCGUACUUGGUGUUACUGCGAAGGGGGGACGGAGAAGGCUAUGUUGGCCGGGCGACGGUUGUCCCGGUUUAAGCGUGUAGGUGUGUGUUCCAGGUAAAUCCGGUUCACUUUAACACUGAGGCGUGACGACGAGGCACUACGGUGCUGAAGCAACAAAUGCCCUGCUUCCAGGAAAAGCCUCUAAGCAUCAGGUAACAUCAAAUCGUACCCCAAACCGACACAGGUGGUCAGGUAGAGAAUACCAAGGCGCUUGAGAGAACUCGGGUGAAGGAACUAGGCAAAAUGGUGCCGUAACUUCGGGAGAAGGCACGCUGACACGUAGGUGAAGUGAUUUACUCAUGGAGCUGAAGUCAGUCGAAGAUACCAGCUGGCUGCAACUGUUUAUUAAAAACACAGCACUGUGCAAACACGAAAGUGGACGUAUACGGUGUGACGCCUGCCCGGUGCCGGAAGGUUAAUUGAUGGGGUCAGCGCAAGCGAAGCUCCUGAUCGAAGCCCCGGUAAACGGCGGCCGUAACUAUAACGGUCCUAAGGUAGCGAAAUUCCUUGUCGGGUAAGUUCCGACCUGCACGAAUGGCGUAAUGAUGGCCAGGCUGUCUCCACCCGAGACUCAGUGAAAUUGAACUCGCUGUGAAGAUGCAGUGUACCCGCGGCAAGACGGAAAGACCCCGUGAACCUUUACUAUAGCUUGACACUGAACAUUGAGCCUUGAUGUGUAGGAUAGGUGGGAGGCUUUGAAGUGUGGACGCCAGUCUGCAUGGAGCCGACCUUGAAAUACCACCCUUUAAUGUUUGAUGUUCUAACGUGGACCCGUUACCCGGGUUGCGGACAGUGUCUGGUGGGUAGUUUGACUGGGGCGGUCUCCUCCUAAAGAGUAACGGAGGAGCACGAAGGUUGGCUAAUCCUGGUCGG